RNAcentral lists this ribosomal RNA (460 nucleotides) under uncultured bacterium. RNAcentral describes it as "partial 16S ribosomal RNA". It matches the Rfam family "Bacterial small subunit ribosomal RNA", at positions 338 to 795 of the family's 1533-position model. The record is from RNAcentral.
CCUACGGGAGGCAGCAGUGAGGAAUAUUGGUCAAUGGGCUUACGCCUGAACCAGCCAAGUCGCGUGAGGGAAGACUGCCCUAUGGGUUGUAAACCUCUUUUGUCAGGGAGCAAUUGGCGCUACGUGUAGCGUUAUCGAGAGUACCUGAAGAAAAAGCAUCGGCUAACGCCGUGCCAGCAGCCGCGGUAAUACGGAGGAUGCGAGCGUUAUCCGGAUUUAUUGGGGUUAAAGGGUGCGUAGGUGGAAUGCCAAGUCAGCGGUAAAAUCGCGGGGCUCAACCUCGCUCCGCCGUUGAAACUGGCGGUCUUGAGUGGGCGAGAAGUAUGCGGAAUGCGUGGUGUAGCGGUGAAAUGCAUAGAUAUCACGCAGAACUCCGAUUGCGAAGGCAGCAUACCGGCGCCCAACUGACGCUGAAGCACGAAAGCGUGGGUAUCGAACAGGAUUAGAUACCCUAGUAGUC